GUUGCCAUCAUUUAGUUGGGCACUCUAAGGGGACUGCCGGUGAUAAGCCGAGAGGAAGGUGGGGAUGACGUCAAGUCCUCAUGGCCCUUACGGGCUGGGCUACACACGUGCUACAAUGGCGGUGACAGUGGGCAGCGAAGGGGUGACCCUGAGCUAAUCUCCAAAAGCCGUCUCAGUUCGGAUUGCACUCUGCAACUCGAGUGCAUGAAGUCGGAAUCGCUAGUAAUCGCAGAUCAGCACGCUGCGGUGAAUACGUUCCCGGGCCUUGUACACACCGCCCGUCACACCAUGGGAGUUGGCUUUACCCGAAGGCGAUGCGCCAACCGCAAGGGGGCAGUCGACCACGGUAGGGUCAGCGACUGGGGUGAAGUCGUAACAAGGUAGCC
Molecule: ribosomal RNA, 386 nt
Filed under: Blastochloris gulmargensis
Lineage: Bacteria; Pseudomonadati; Pseudomonadota; Alphaproteobacteria; Hyphomicrobiales; Blastochloridaceae
Description: bacterial SSU rRNA
Rfam family: Bacterial small subunit ribosomal RNA
Source: RNAcentral